This 386-nucleotide ribosomal RNA is filed under the name uncultured bacterium. RNAcentral's name for it is "bacterial SSU rRNA". It matches the Rfam family "Bacterial small subunit ribosomal RNA", at positions 355 to 755 of the family's 1533-position model. The record is from RNAcentral.
UGGGGGAUAUUGCACAAUGGGGGGAAACCCUGAUGCAGCGACGCCGCGUGAGGGAAGACGGUCCUCUGGAUUGUAAACCUCUGUCUUCGGGGACGAAAGAAGACGGUACCCGAGGAGGAAGCCACGGCUAACUACGUGCCAGCAGCCGCGGUAAAACGUAGGUGGCAAGCGUUGUCCGGAAUUACUGGGUGUAAAGGGAGCGCAGGCGGAAGGACAAGUUGGAAGUGAAACCCACGGGCUCAACCCGUGAACUGCUUUCAAAACUGUUUUUCUUGAGUGGUGUAGAGGUAGGCGGAAUUCCCGGUGUAGCGGUGGAAUGCGUAGAUAUCGGGAGGAACACCAGUGGCGAAGGCGGCCUACUGGGCACUAACUGACGCUGAGGCUCG